AUUGAACGCUGGCGGCAGGCCUAACACAUGCAAGUCGAACGAGUGGCGGCCGGGUGAGAAAUGUCUGGGAAACUGCCUGAUGGAGGGGGAUAACUACUGGAAACGGUAGCUAAUACCGCAACCCAUCGGAGGUGCCCAGAUGGGAAUAGCUAGUAGGUGGGGUAAAGGCUCACCUAGGCGACGAUCCCUAGCGGGUCUGCGAGGAUGAGCAGCAAAACGUGAACGGAGACACGGUCCAGACUCCUCCGUGAGGCAUCAGUGGGUAAUAUUGCACAAUGGGCGAAAUCCUGAUGCAGCCACGCCGCGUGUAUGAAGAAGGCCUUCGGGUUGUAAAGUGCUUUCAGCGGGGAGGCGUUACCCGCAGAAGAAGCACCGGCAAACGCCGUGCCAGCCGCCGCGGUAAUUC
Molecule: ribosomal RNA, 406 nt
Filed under: uncultured bacterium
Lineage: Bacteria
Description: partial 16S ribosomal RNA
Rfam family: Bacterial small subunit ribosomal RNA
Source: RNAcentral